This is a non-coding RNA of Pimephales promelas (fathead minnow), 657 nucleotides long. NCBI's taxonomy places the organism in Eukaryota, Metazoa, Chordata, Actinopteri, Cypriniformes, Leuciscidae. The record is from RefSeq and is a predicted model, not a curated record.
CUACUGUCAUGGCAGAGCAACAGUCUGAAGACGAUCUAUCUGGAAAAUUGCUGAAAAGAGAAUCAGAUGCUUAAAAUAAGGCAGAUGAACUUCUGGUUGUGUGUUGCCGGCGUAAUUCCUGUGCAGAGUCAACUUGUUUCAUGGAUGAUGAAGAGGAAAGAUUGGAUCAAACUUUACACAAAUUAGGAAAAGGAAACAAAUGAAUUGAAGUGUCAGGGGUUGAUGUCGCUGGGCAAAAGAGGUCACGGACUGCUGAUUCUCCAGAGCUAUCUUCAGGACCAAAAGUGCCCACAGAUGACGAAACCCCCCAUAUCCUACGGAAUCUAUGUAAUCCAAGAUCAUUAAACCGAUGCACAAACACUGCCUGCAAUUUCAUCGCCUGAUAGGGCAGCGAGGCAACAAGUCAGAGAACGGGUUUGCUGUCAGAUUCGUCCCAUGGCUCAAGAAUCACUGCUUUAUUAGGUCUACUUUUAAAGUCUUCCAAGAUAACAAAUCCCCAAGAAGCAGACAUUGAGCUGAAGCAUGAGAGAGCAGAUGCUGUUUUAGUCAUGUGCCCAGGGGCUAUGCACUUCUGACAAUGAAAACCUCAGAAUAUUCCAGUGACAAUAUCCUACAGGAAGUGACACCAUUUUGGAGGAACUCAACAAAACACACCUG